RNAcentral lists this unclassified non-coding RNA (448 nucleotides) under Hevea brasiliensis (rubber tree). The record is from RNAcentral. Lineage: Eukaryota; Viridiplantae; Streptophyta; Magnoliopsida; Malpighiales; Euphorbiaceae.
UCUUAAUUUAGGCAUACCAAGCUUCUUUUUAAAUCUAAGGUUUUUUAUUAUUUAUUUUCUUUUAUCUGUAUAGUGAAUAUGAUAUCUAACCAAAGAGCUGCAUUCUCAACCAACAUCAAUGAUUUAGUCAGUUGACUAACUAUUAUGACAACACUAGUGAGUACUUAAUUGGAUUGAAAUAAAAUUCAUCUUGUCAGUGGAAGGACGUCCUGAUUCUGAAUUUCUUUAUUUUCCUGACUCAGGUCUAUAGGUCAGCACUGAUAACCUGAUAUUGUUUGCUUGGUUACAGUUCCACAAUGUUCCCAUGUAUUAACCUAAAUCUCACAUGACUGUUGGUUGAACUGCAAAAAUUGAACUCCAUUUAUAACUAUCAUUCAGUCCCAUGAUUGUGCUGGGAAUGGCUCUAUAGUUGGUAUUAAAGUAAUAACUUUUUUAGUGGGUGAAUGAG